AUGCUUAUUUUGGGAGCACAUAUACUAAAAUUGGGAUGAUACAGAGAUUAGCAUGGCCCCCGAGCAAGGAUGACAUGCAAAUUUGUGAAGAAGAUAUUAUAGCC
Equus caballus (horse) is the source of this 104-nucleotide small nuclear RNA. The record is from Ensembl. NCBI's taxonomy places the organism in Eukaryota, Metazoa, Chordata, Mammalia, Perissodactyla, Equidae.